Molecule: ribosomal RNA, 443 nt
Filed under: uncultured prokaryote
Description: bacterial SSU rRNA
Rfam family: Bacterial small subunit ribosomal RNA
Source: RNAcentral
UAGGGAAUAUUGGUCAAUGGGCGAGAGCCUGAACCAGCCAUGCCGCGUGCAGGACGACGGCCUUCUGGGUUGUAAACUGCUUUUAUACAGGAAUAAAAUGACGCUGUGGCGUAGAUUGCAUGUACUGUAUGAAUAAGCACCGGCUAACUCCGUGCCAGCAGCCGCGGUAAUACGGAGGGUGCGAGCGUUGUCCGGAUUUAUUGGGUUUAAAGGGUGCGUAGGCGGUUAUUUAAGUCAGUGGUGAAAACCCUGAGCUCAACUGAGGGCUUGCCAUUGAUACUGGGUAACUUGAUUACCGUAUAGGUAGGCGGAAUUUAUGGUGUAGCGGUGAAAUGCAUAGAUACCAUAAAGAACACCGAUAGCGAAGGCAGCUUACUGGACGGCGAAUGACGCUGAUGCACGAAAGCGUGGGUAGCGAACGGGAUUAGAUACCCCUGUAGUCC